AGGCCUUCGGGUCGUAAAGCUCUGUUGUUAGGGAAGAACAAGUGCGAGAGUAACUGCUCGCACCUUGACGGUACCUAACCAGAAAGCCACGGCUAACUACGUGCCAGCAGCCGCGGUAAUACGUAGGUGGCAAGCGUUGUCCGGAAUUAUUGGGCGUAAAGCGCGCGCAGGUGGUCCUUUAAGUCUGAUGUGAAAGCCCACGGCUCAACCGUGGAGGGUCAUUGGAAACUGGGGGACUUGAGUGCAGAAGAGGAAAGUGGAAUUCCACGUGUAGCGGUGAAAUGCGUAGAGAUGUGGAGGAACACCAGUGGCGAAGGCGACUUUCUGGUCUGUAACUGACACUGAGGCGCGAAAGCGUGGGGAGCAAACAGGAUUAGAUACCCUGGUAGUCCACGCCGUAAACGAUGAGUGCUAAGUGUUGGAGGGUUUCCGCCCUUCAGUGCUGCAGCUAACGCAUUAAGCACUCCGCCUGGGGAGUACGGUCGCAAGACUGAAACUCAAAGGAAUUGACGGGGGCCCGCACAAGCGGUGGAGCAUGUGGUUUAACUCGAAGCAACGCGAAGAACCUUACCAGCUCUUGACAUCCUUUUGCCUUACCUAGAGAUAGGGAUUUCCCUUCGGGGACAAAAGUGACAGGUGGUGCAUGGUUGUCGUCAGCUCGUGUCGUGAGAUGUUGGGUUAAGUCCCGCAACGAGCGCAACCCUUGAUCUUAGUUGCCAU
RNAcentral lists this ribosomal RNA (720 nucleotides) under uncultured bacterium. RNAcentral describes it as "bacterial SSU rRNA". It matches the Rfam family "Bacterial small subunit ribosomal RNA", at positions 412 to 1121 of the family's 1533-position model. The record is from RNAcentral.